UACGGGGGGGGCAAGCGUUGUUCGGAAUUACUGGGCGUAAAGGGCUCGUAGGUGGCCAACUAAGUCAUACGUGAAAUCCCUCAGCUUAACUGGGGAACUGCGUCUGAUACUGGAUGGCUUGAGUUUGGGAGAGGGAUGCGGAAUUCCAGGUGUAGCGGUGAAAUGCGUAGAUAUCUGGAGGAACACCGGUGGCGAAGGCGGCAUCCUGGACCAAUACUGACACUGAGGAGCGAGAGCCAGGGGAGCAAACGGG
This 253-nucleotide ribosomal RNA is filed under the name uncultured bacterium. RNAcentral's name for it is "partial 16S ribosomal RNA". It matches the Rfam family "Bacterial small subunit ribosomal RNA", at positions 524 to 776 of the family's 1533-position model. The record is from RNAcentral.